RNAcentral lists this ribosomal RNA (497 nucleotides) under uncultured bacterium. RNAcentral's name for it is "partial 16S ribosomal RNA". It matches the Rfam family "Bacterial small subunit ribosomal RNA", at positions 28 to 507 of the family's 1533-position model. The record is from RNAcentral.
GACGAACGCUGGCGGCGUGCCUAAUACAUGCAAGUUGAGCGCUGAAGGUUGGUACUUGUACCAACUGGAUGAGCAGCGAACGGGUGAGUAACGCGUGGGGAAUCUGCCUUUGAGCGGGGGACAACAUUUGGAAACGAAUGCUAAUACCGCAUAAAAACUUUAAACACAAGUUUUAAGUUUGAAAGAUGCAAUUGCAUCACUCAAAGAUGAUCCCGCGUUGUAUUAGCUAGUUGGUGAGGUAAAGGCUCACCAAGGCGAUGAUACAUAGCCGACCUGAGAGGGUGAUAGGCCACAUUGGGACGGAGACACGGCCCAAACUCCUACGGGAGGCAGCAGUAGGGAAUCUUCGGCAAUGGACGAAAGUCUGACCGAGCAAGGCCGAGUGAGUGAAGAAGGUUUUCGGAUCGUAAAACUCUGUUGGUAGAGAAGAACGUUGGUGAGAGUGGAAAGCUCAUCAAGUGACGGUAACUACACAGAAAGGGACGGCUAACUACGUG